CCAGGCGCGUGCGGCGCGAUGCGGGUCCUGGCGGCUUAGCGCGGGGGGCAGCGAGCGGCACGCGGGCGCAAGGAGCAGGGCGGCACGCGGAUGGUCUAGGCGCGGCGCCGUCCGGCUGCUUGCCCUGGCUGCUCGCGCGCCGUGACGGCGAGUCGUCCCGGUUUUCCCCUCUACGGUAAUACCUCCCACCACUCCACCCCCCCCCCUUCGCACCCGGUGGCGCACAAGCGGUUUUCUUUCCCCCAGCUCGCGAUCCGUUUCCCGACGCCGUCGGCCCCAGGUCAGUGCUGCCGCCGCUGUUGCCGUCGACCGCUGGCCCGAGUUGCGACCCGAUCCACGUAAUGAGCGGGAAGCCAUCCAUUGGCUCGCCAUUGUCCGUUCAGAGCUCCGCGAGGUCGCUCCGCUCUCGUCGUCGUCGCCCCAGGUCAGUACCUGUCGCAGUGCCGCCGCUGCCGUUGCCGUUGACCGCCGGCUGGAGUCCUGCGACCUGAUCCACCUAACGCAUGGGACCCACCCAUCGGCCCCUGCCUUCCGCUCCGCUGAAGCUUCAUCAGCAUGGCGCCGACUGGCUCAAAAGGCAAGAUUCACUGCGGCAGCUCGGCUCGUCAUCGUCACCAGAAGCUGUCGAUUUCUUCCGAGGUAAUAGCUCUUUUUAAUUCCCGUGUGUACAAGAAGGAACAUCAAUAUCAAGCAGGUCGAACAGCACAGAUGGGUGAGGACAGAUCCCUCAGCUCCAUGCUAAGGUCUCUUCCUCAUCGUGUGUUUUUCAUUGGAGGCAAUAGUGAGAUCUAUGAACUGCUCAUUCCCCUUCCCCUGUUCUUUCCUGCAAUACAUCGGUCUCACAUUGACCAAGAUUGAACAACUAUCCGUAUCCUCUACAAAUCAAAGAUCUUGUGCACUAAAUUGCUCAAUUCCUCCGAUUCACCCUCUGUCCUCGAAUCCCCACAACCACAUAUCCAUUUUUCUUCAUAUCAAUCUUUUCUGAAUCGAAUUAGUUUGCUUCUUUUUCUAGGCACGGCACCUAGUCAUUUAAGUAUUCAUGGAUUAAUUGAGUUGUUCAUAACUUAAUUUCGGGUUUGCAAUUUUGUUCAGGCUGUAAAAUUUGGUGAAAUCUUUUGUGACCACAUGGGUUACGUUGGAAAGAAAAUUCAGAUCCCAUGUAUAUAGUAAGAUUUAACACCAUAUCGGUUUUGUUUCCUCAAUUGUUUCCAUUGUCAGUGAGAUUCAUUUCUUCAUGGAGAUGAUUAUGCAGUGGCUUUGUUGCUGCUGGCUGCUUAUAAUUAAAUCGGCUGCCACUCGGUGCUUUGCCUUCCACUAUGAUUUUUUACUUGAUACAUGAUGGCAAACAAUCAGCCAUGAAUCCCCCAACCUCUGCUUACUCUGAAUCAAGCACAGCCUCUGAAGCGCUCUCUGAACAUGUGUGUCAGGAUCAGCGACGAUGGCCACACGAGUGUUGGACGGCCACACGGCAGCUUGGUGUUCCCUCACUGGAGCUGCACAUUUCUACAGAUGAGUCUUCACUGAUGUCGGUGCCCCUCUUUUCUCAAGUUCAUUUGUUUUCCCCUGCUGUUGCUAGAUUGCCCUUGUUUUUUUUUGAUAGGUAGAUUGCCCUUGUUGGUGGCGAUGAUUUGUGAUAAUGGUUUAGAGGUAGGACAAAGAAGUCAAGUAACUGUUGGUGCUGGCUGCUGUUGUCUUCUCUGAUGGAGGCACAGAAAAGCUUGAUUCCUAAUUGAAGGCGCUAAUCAUUUCUUCUCAAUAGCUAUUGUAUUAUAAUCCUCCCAUAGUAAUCCAGCCCAACCCUCCAUUUGUUAGCUUGAAUCAGCGUUAUAAGUAUAGAUUGCUGACAAUUCCACCAUGAUUUUGUAUUCAUUACUCAUUUGACGGUAGCGAUGUUUUUGCAUCUGUGCAUCAUCCCAAGAUGGUGUAUUUAGUUCUCUACUCCCUCCAUCGUGAAGGUCAGCAAUGAGAGCAAAAACGCGAUGUAUGUGUACUCAAAAGGGACUUCAUUUCCUGAAUUUCAUUCUCUGAAAGGCUCCAUUGAAUCCGUAGUGUCCCUCUCUUGUGGAUUCAAAUGAGACGUGCACCAUGCUCCUCUCAUCUGUAUUCAGGAUUGUUAGAUCUUUAUAUGAUUCUGAUUAUAGAACUAAACAAAAAAAAUACAUCGACGGAGGCACAGAAAAGCAUGAGUUAGAUGUGGGUUAAUUUGCAUUUCAGAAUUAAUUCGUAACCUCAAAAGAAAUCGUUCCUUUUAGACAAGGGUAUGCAGUAUGCAAUUAACUGAUAGAGUGUACUCACAAAAGAUAGGGUGAACUUCAAUCUGGUUCUGUCAGAUUUCAGAGCAUAUUGACAGUGUGUAAUACUAUCUAGAGUCCAGGUUUCUUCCUUGUUUGGCCCAUGAAAUUUGGAAUAACUUUUUGCAUGUUGCCUUGUUUUCGACUGUCAAUUACGUUAGAUAAUAUGUAUAUGUAAUCCAAAAGAAAGGUGUACAAUUAUCAGCCUAUUAGCUCCUCCUUAGGCAAAAAUAGUUUGUGCUGAUUAAUAAAAUAAAUUUGUAACUUAAUUAGGCCUGUGCAACACGCAAUCAACUGAACAACCAGGUGCAAGUGUGUUUUAGCAUAUGAAUAUGUAUGAUCAGGUCAUGCUGUUGGUCAUUGAAGGUGACAUUUCGCUGAACUCUGUUCUGCCUACUAUGAUAGCUCAAGCUCGGCUAUUUGAACCUGAGUCCAUACUUUAGUCAACUGAUCAUAUUAGUUCUAAUAGUUAAUCUUGGCUUAUAUGCAUUCUGUAAAUUCUGAAGUACAUUAAAUUGGUACGGAUUCAUAUUAGGUUCAAGAAGGUUCUCCUAAAUUAGUUCUACAUUUGUUUGCUAGAUUAAAUAGAGGUUUUUACAUUCACAAGAGUCAUUAUUUGUGACAUGGAAAAUAAAUGAUAUAUUCCAACGGUGCACAAUAUUAUUGAACAACUAUCCAUAUGCAUGCUUAUGUAUUCUGAAAUUUCAGUAUACAAUUAUGCAUGCCACUUUACUUGCUGCAAGACCAUUUAUAUAUUGCUGCGAUGCCUGUCUUUGAAUGUGGACAUCAUAGUAUCUUGUCAAUUCCUGCUGAUUUGGACUGAAUAAUUUAUUGACAAAUUCAUAAGUCUGCAGCCAGUUCGUGCACCUGACUAUAUCAUGUCUAUGGGGUUGUUGCAAUACAAUUCCAACCUAUUGUUACUUGAUAAUAGUUUUGCUCUUAUGUAGUGUGUAUAGGCUGUCUUUAACCUGCAUAUACUAAUAAUUCUUAGCUCUUAUACAGAUUGCAGUAUGCCUGCUGGGAAUUAUACUUUUUGCAUCAAAUGUUUCCUGCUGAACUGUUCUCUUGUGGGAAUUAUACCUUCCUAACUGAUUACUAGUUCAAGUCACACAGUUAAGGUUGGAUUAGAUUGUCGACCCCAUUGCUUUGCUAACUGUACCAGUGUUUGGUGACUUUUAUUUGUGUAUCACUAGAUGAACUCCUGUUCAGAAUUCAGAUAUGCAUCUUGUUUUUGUUCAGAGAUGUAAACGUUCAAAUAGUGUAUGCUUCUUAGUUGUUACUGCAAGAUAUGCACUCACCCGAACGAUGCUGAUCUGAUUUACCAGUCCAAUUUUGGUGUUACGUGAAGACUUGGAUUAGUUUGAUUGCCUGAUAGGAGUUAAUAUAUUUGGAUCAGUAUACUUUCUUAAUUAUUGCAGAUGUUCUAAAGCAUUGGCCCCUCUAUACAUUGUGGUUUGUUCUAUCUGAAAUGCUUAUGGUAUGCCCCAUUGGCUUCAUGUUUGAUCCCUAACGUUGGGUGUUACUGUCUCUGCAGCGAUGAAGGAGCCGGUCCUGCUACUUUCGUGCAGAGCCCAUUCUGACUGAAGCUAGUGAUUUUCUUAAAAAUGUUCAUUCAAAUGCUUUUUUCAGGAAGUCAACCUAUAAAAAUGAUGGCAGCAUAUUCAAGCGUCCCCCCCCCCCUUUAUUUUCAGGAUCUGAGAUGGGCACAGUGAUCUCCAUUGACCAUGUCAUCUUUGAUUGGGGCCCAUCAUCACCAUUAGGUGUUCAGGGACAGUUCCCCUUGUUCAUCAGUUGAUGGAUUUUUUGCUGGAGCAUCUAUUGUACAGUAGAUAGAUUCCGAGUUUCAUGUGAGGAUUGCAUAGUUAGAGCUUUUGUGUAUAGGUUCUUACGAAAAUGUAAGUUCUGAGUGGCACAUAAUAGAAAUAUGACACCCAUCUUCUGCGUUUAUGAUAUUUAUGAACCGGCUCAGAAAAAAUGUGUGGUGUUUGCAAGGUAAUGAGGUUUUGCAUCGACAUAUUUUAGUACA
Panicum virgatum (switchgrass) is the source of this 4317-nucleotide long non-coding RNA. RefSeq lists it as uncharacterized. The transcript is spliced from 2 exons. NCBI's taxonomy places the organism in Eukaryota, Viridiplantae, Streptophyta, Magnoliopsida, Poales, Poaceae. The record is from RefSeq and is a predicted model, not a curated record.